This 478-nucleotide ribosomal RNA is filed under the name uncultured bacterium. RNAcentral describes it as "bacterial SSU rRNA". It matches the Rfam family "Bacterial small subunit ribosomal RNA", at positions 9 to 521 of the family's 1533-position model. The record is from RNAcentral.
GAGUUUGAUCGUGGCUCAGGACGAACGCUGGCGGUGUGCUUAAUACAUGCAAGUCGAACGAGACUUUCGGGUCUAGUGGCGGACGGCUGAGUAACGCGUAGGUAACGUACCUCUUACUGGGGGAUAACAUCGGGAAACCGGUGCUAAUACCGCAUAAGUCGUGUCUUGAAAUAGAUACGAUUAAAGAUUUAUCGGUAAGAGAUUGGCCUGCGUCUGAUUAGCUAGUUGGUAGGGUAACGGCCUACCAAGGCGAUGAUCAGUAGUUGGUCUGAGAGGAUGACCAGCCAGAGUGGGACUGAGAACGGCCCACACUUCUACGGAAGGCAGCAGUAGGGAAUUUUGCGCAAUGGGCGAAAGCCUGACGCAGCAACACCGCGUGCGGGAUGAAGGCCUUGGGUUGUAAACCGCUGUCAGCAGGGAAUAAAUUGACUGUACCUGCAAAGGAAGCACCGGCUAACUACGUGCCAGCAGCCGCCGU